RNAcentral lists this ribosomal RNA (664 nucleotides) under uncultured bacterium. RNAcentral's name for it is "bacterial SSU rRNA". It matches the Rfam family "Bacterial small subunit ribosomal RNA", at positions 111 to 793 of the family's 1533-position model. The record is from RNAcentral.
UAACACGUGAGCAACCUGCCUUUCAGAGGGGGAUAACAGUUGGAAACGACUGCUAAUACCGCAUAACGCUGCGAUGGGGCAUCCCGAUGCAGCCAAAGGAGCAAUCCGCUGAAAGAUGGGCUCGCGGCCGAUUAGCUAGUUGGUGGGGCAACGGCCCACCAAGGCGACGAUCGGUAGCCGGACUGAGAGGUUGAUCGGCCACAUUGGGACUGAGACACGGCCCAGACUCCUACGGGAGGCAGCAGUGGGGGAUAUUGCACAAUGGAGGAAACUCUGAUGCAGCGACGCCGCGUGAGGGAAGACGGUCUUCGGAUUGUAAACCUCUGUCUUUGGGGAAGAAAAUGACGGUACCCAAAGAGGAAGCUCCGGCUAACUACGUGCCAGCAGCCGCGGUAAUACGUAGGGAGCGAGCGUUGUCCGGAAUUACUGGGUGUAAAGGGAGCGUAGGCGGGCGAGAAAGUUGAAUGUUAAAUCUACCGGCUUAACUGGUAGCUGCGUUCAAAACUUCUUGUCUUGAGUGAAGUAGAGGCAGGCGGAAUUCCUAGUGUAGCGGUGAAAUGCGUAGAUAUUAGGAGGAACACCAGUGGCGAAGGCGGCCUGCUGGGCUUUAACUGACGCUGAGGCUCGAAAGCGUGGGAGCAAACAGGAUUAGAUACCCUGGUAG